UUUAUGGAGAGUUUGAUCCUGGCUCAGGAUGAACGCUGGCGGCGUGCCUAAUACAUGCAAGUCGAGCGAACGGACGAGAAGCUUGCUUCUCUGAUGUUAGCGGCGGACGGGUGAGUAACACGUGGAUAACCUACCUAUAAGACUGGGAUAACUUCGGGAAACCGGAGCUAAUACCGGAUAAUAUUUUGAACCGCAUGGUUCAAAAGUGAAAGACGGUCUUGCUGUCACUUAUAGAUGGAUCCGCGCUGCAUUAGCUAGUUGGUAAGGUAACGGCUUACCAAGGCAACGAUGCAUAGCCGACCUGAGAGGGUGAUCGGCCACACUGGAACUGAGACACGGUCCAGACUCCUACGGGAGGCAGCAGUAGGGAAUCUUCCGCAAUGGGCGAAAGCCUGACGGAGCAACGCCGCGUGAGUGAUGAAGGUCUUCGGAUCGUAAAACUCUGUUAUUAGGGAAGAACAUAUGUGUAAGUAACUGUGCACAUCUUGACGGUACCUAAUCAGAAAGCCACGGCUAACUACGUGCCAGCAGCCGCGGUAAUACGUAGGUGGCAAGCGUUAUCCGGAAUUAUUGGGCGUAAAGCGCGCGUAGGCGGUUUUUUAAGUCUGAUGUGAAAGCCCACGGCUCAACCGUGGAGGGUCAUUGGAAACUGGAAAACUUGAGUGCAGAAGAGGAAAGUGGAAUUCCAUGUGUAGCGGUGA
This 701-nucleotide ribosomal RNA is filed under the name Staphylococcus aureus. Its description in RNAcentral is "bacterial SSU rRNA". It matches the Rfam family "Bacterial small subunit ribosomal RNA", at positions 1 to 684 of the family's 1533-position model. Lineage: Bacteria; Bacillati; Bacillota; Bacilli; Caryophanales; Staphylococcaceae. The record is from RNAcentral.